GAAUAGAUUCCACCCCUAUUCAAAGGACAAGAAUGCAGGCACUGGAGAGAAGAAGACUGUUAAUCGUAAUAGAGUUUUUAUUAGCAACAUCCCGUAUGACAUGAAAUGGCAAGCUAUUAAAGAUCUUAUGAGAGAGAAAGUUGGUGAGGUUACAUACGUGGAGCUGUUUAAGGAUGCUGAAGGAAAAUCAAGGGGUUGCGGUGUGGUUGAAUUCAAAGAUGAAGAAUUUGUUAAGAAAGCAUUAGAAACUAUGAACAAAUAUGAUCUUAGUGGAAGACCCCUGAAUAUUAAAGAGGAUCCCGAAGGUGAACAUGCUCGUAGGGCGCUACAGCGUGUAGGAGGACAGUUUCCAGGAGGACAUGGACCUGAUGUGGCACCUGGAAUAAUGAAUUUACCACCUUCUAUCCUCAAUAAUCCAAACAUUCCUCCUGAGGUUAUCAGUAACUUGCAGGCAGGCAGGCUUGGGUCCACUAUUUUUGUUGCUAAUCUUGACUUUAAAGUUGGCUGGAAGAAACUGAAGGAGGUAUUCAGCAUUGCUGGAACCGUAAAGCGUGCAGACAUCAAAGAAGAUAAAGACGGCAAGAGUCGAGGAAUGGGAACAGUUACCUUUGAACAAGCAAUUGAAGCUGUUCAAGCAAUAUCUAUGUUCAAUGGACAAUUCCUGUUCGAUAGACCCAUGCAUGUAAAAAUGGAUGACAAAUCAGUUCCUCAUGAAGAUUUCCGUGUUGCAGACAGCAAAACUUCACAAUUACCUCGUGGUCUUGGUGGCAUUGGUAUGGGACUUGGACCAGGUGGACAGCCCAUCAGUGCAACACAGUUGAGCAUGGGUGGUGGAAUGGGGAGCAUGGGUCCAGGAGGUAUGGGAAUAGAUGGUCCAGGAUUUGGCGGAAUGAAUAGAAUGGGAGGCGGACUUGCUGGAUUUCGUGGAAUGGAAGGAAUGCCUAAUAUGGGAGGAUUUGGAGUCAACCGAAUGGGAGAAAUGUUCCGUGGUGGAAUGGGAGGAAACAUGGACAGAGAUUUUGGUCGUAGUGACAUGGCAUUGAACCGUGGCUUUGGAGAUUCAUUUGGAAGGAUGGGUGGUGCAAUGAUUGGUGUUUUUGCAGGAGGAAUGGGGGCGCCUAGCAUGGGCCCAGUAAGAUCUGGAAUGAGUGGUGGAAUGGGUGGUAUGAACAGUAUGGCUGGAGGAAUAGGAAUGGGGAUGGAUCGGAUGAGUUCUGGUUUUGAUCGAAUGGGACCAGCUAUGGGUGGAGGACUGGACAGGAACAUCGAUAUCGAUCGAGGAUUUGUGCCUGGCCCAAUGGGAAGUGGCAUGAGAGAGAGAUUAGGCUCUAAAGGCAACCAGAUAUUUGUGAGAAAUCUUCCUUUUGACUUGACCUGGCAGAAGCUAAAGGAGAAAUUCAGUCAAUGUGGUCAUGUAAUGUUUGCAGAAAUAAAAAUGGAGAAUGGAAAAUCAAAGGGCUGUGGAACAGUCAGAUUUGACUCACCAGAAUCUGCUGAAAAGGCCUGUAGGAUAAUGAACGGCAUAAAAAUCAGUGGCAGAGAAAUUGAUGUACGCUUGGAUCGCAAUGCAUAAUUUAAAACUGUGUGUUCAGGAACAUUCCUAUGUCUGUUUAGCUUCUCUAUCCUAUACCUUUUAAACACAUCCAUUGGAAUGAGCCUGAAUACUAAAAUCUUUACCUUUUCGAGCCACCAGCACACUUGCAACUGUAUCUGGUACACUUGUUCCUGCUGCUAGUAAUGUGAGACCCAUUACUGACUCUGGAAUCCCCAGUGUUUCACCUGCAGUUGAUAAAUAAUGGUAGAAAAUGCAAGUAUGGGUUUUUUUAGUUCAAAUUUCAUCCAAAGAAAUUGCUUUGGACUUUGUUUGCUGGAGAAAGGAUUAGUAAUCAUACAGUAACUUCAAAAGGAAUCUAUCUGCUAACUUGACUAAAUAUGAAGUGACUGAACCAUGAAGUAGUUAAGAACAGCAAAGAAAUAUCAUCCUGUCCUUGAUCUUCAAUCAAAUAAAAAAGAAAUUGUAGUAUAGUAACCAUCUUAAGUUUCUUGAAGACCUGAGUGACCACCUCAGGUGGUCAAGACAAUACCAACUAUUAAUUAUUUUCUUUCAGAUACAGUAGAAGUUUAAGUAUCUAACAACUUACUACUUUUUUUUUUCCCUUCAAUUUCUGGAAAAUAUAGUAGUCUUCUAUGUUUUUGAGCAUUUCAUUAGUGCUCAAAAGUCUCAUGAAGCAAUAAUUUAUAAUCACCCACUCUUUAAAGGGGGAGUAAAAACAUGAGUUUUCUUGGGGAGGAGAGUCAUUAAGAUCAUUACUACAAUACUGUCUCAACUACAUGGCUUUACCAUUUCACUCCAGUUAGGAAGUUCUUUUGUUGGAUUCUGAAGAAUCAAAAUGCAGAACUUUUAUAUGACUUCUAAGUAGGUGCAAGUAAUCCUUUAGAAAUGUGAGUUUCUUCAGGCAAAUACUGGUUUAAAUUAAGAAAAGUUUGGAAUUGUUAUUAAAACAGCAGCUUAUUUUUCCGCACUCUUUGUUUUUUUUUUUUUUUUUAGCCCCGCAUGUCCUGUAAGCAUAUUGAUUUCUCACUGAAAAUCCAGGGAUUCAGGUCUUCAAAACUGUUUUGGCAGUUGUACCAUUCACAAGCAUCAAUAUGCUGAAGUAUUUGAUACCUCUAUUCAAACUAUUAAGUAAUAAAGUUUUUCUUAAACUUUUGUUCACUAAAAAGUAUCUUAAUUUUUUUUUGUUGAAAUCUGAAUUCUUACUUGCAAUAUUUAGACACUAAUAAGAACAGUUUUCUUAAAGUAAGAGGCAGUACUCUCUAAGCUAGGUCAGCAGUGCUUGCCUAGUACAUACCAGCUUAGUCUACAUCAGCCCAGUAAAUUUAUGUUUGAAAGUAUUGUUGGUUCAGAGGGACUAACAUGAUCCUGUUGCAGAAUUUGUAUUUACCAUCACUCCUAAUGUAAGAGAUUUGUAGGAUGAGGGACCAAUGAGAUCAGCUUUUAUAAACCAUCCAGGCUGGAAAAUAACAUUUCAUGCCAAGCAAACCAAGGUGAAAUAUGAAUGAAUCAGCCUUAUGUACCCAACAGUAGUUUCUAGCCCUCUGAAGGUUGUAAGAUAGAAUCGAAACUCAGGUGAAUCUAAUUUUUAUUAGCUAGAUUUAUCUUCUAUUUAAUAUGUAGGGCUUUUUUCUGGCAACUGACCAUAAAGAGAGAAUGGUCUUAUUUUUCUAGCCUUUAGUUAAUUUUGUGUAUCAGUAGCAAUAUCUUGCUAUAAGUAGUCAAAUUUUCUUUUGCUUUGUUCUUGACCAUUAAAAUUUAGUCCCCAGCUGUGAUACCUUUGUGAUGUUCUGAUAGGCUAUUUAUGCAACAGAUAGAAUCUUUGAGUCACCCUUCAUGAAAGAACCUGGACUUGAGUAUAAUGUGUGUGUAAUUUUUAGCAUUUUAACAUGUAAAUAGAACAUAUUUGACCUAGAGGUAGUGGGCUAAAGACCCAAACACUGCCUGUGAUGACUCUUCAAACUGGACUAACACUAAUACACUGUUUGAAUCUCCAGUGUACCUGCUUUCAUAUGAAUUAGUGCUUUGUCUAGUAGAACAGCAAUAACUUUCAUUUGAAUCCUGUUUCAAAGGCGUCUAGCAUUCAGACGGUAAACCCUUGCUCUUUAGAUACAAGUGGAAAAUUAUUUGACCAAGGAGUGAACCUGGUGAGUGUUACAUUCAGUGAUCUACUAAUAAUUUCUCCAAGGUUUACCAAAUAUGUAGGUCUGUUUCUGCAUCGAACAAGGAGUUAUUCAUUGAACUUAAGUUGAAAACAAGUUUAGGAUGCUGAACUAGCAGAGUAGUUGAGUAGGAUUAGCGAGCUAUAAUGUAGAAAUGGCAAGCUUUGUAAUGUUUCUUUCUUGUUUAGAGAUUUAUUUUCUGCUUGUUCUUGAAAUUAAAAACUGGAUUUUUCUCUGCUGUCUGGAGGAACAGUGAAAUGAGGAGACCUUUAAUACCUUAAGAUAUUUUUAAGAGAAUGUUUUUAUACACAAGUUCAUACCCCUUCUUUCACUUAAAUGCAAUUCUUUUACUUUAUGAUGCAGAUUUGUAAGAGGUAUACAGACACCAAGAAUGUUUAAUAAAUACACGAAGCUAUAGUUGAGAUAAAAUAGUACAAAAAUUUGGGAGGUGUUUUAGGCAGUUAAUUUAAUGCCAAAUCUCUCGCUAUAGUGUUCAAAAUAUGUAAGUAUAGAAAUAAUAGAUCAUUUACAGAACCCUGAACCUUUAUGUCCAGUCUUGGUGGAUUCCAUGUUUGUCAGACUUCACAGGUUUAUUGCUGUGUAUCUAAUUGUUUCACUUAAUGAAGCAAUUUAGUGGAACUGUCUCUUUUUAAAUAUAGGAUAUUUUUUGUAGCUAUGUAAACAAAUUCUCAUUCGUGUUAUGGUAAGCAGUCUGAAGCAGCUAAACUGUAAAGUGGUUUUCAUUAGAUGGAAGAAGGUGGAAAACGGAAAACUAAGCAGUCAAACAUAAGUUUUGGUUGGUUUUGUUUGGGUUUUUUUUUCUACAGCAAAGUAUGUGUUGCUAAACUGACUGUUAAUUGUGGAAAGGAAAACUCUUCACAGGGAGAAACUUUUUUCAGUGAU
RNA transcript from Egretta garzetta (little egret), 4617 nucleotides. It is a transcript of the gene named myelin expression factor 2, with no coding region annotated. Lineage: Eukaryota; Metazoa; Chordata; Aves; Pelecaniformes; Ardeidae. The record is from RefSeq and is a predicted model, not a curated record. The transcript is spliced from 17 exons.